Molecule: ribosomal RNA, 133 nt
Filed under: uncultured bacterium
Lineage: Bacteria
Description: partial 16S ribosomal RNA
Rfam family: Bacterial small subunit ribosomal RNA
Source: RNAcentral
GGGGAAUAUUGCACAAUGGGGGAAACCCUGAUGCGGCGACGCCGCGUGAAGGAAGAAGGCUUUCGGGUUGUAAACUUCUUUUGACAGGGAAGAGCAGAAGACGGUACCUGUCGAAUAAGCCACGGCUAACUAC